UAGGGAAUCUUCCGCAAUGGGCGAAAGCCUGACGGAGCAACGCCGCGUGAGUGAUGAAGGUCUUCGGAUCGUAAAACUCUGUUAUUAGGGAAGAACAAAUGUGUAAGUAACUAUGCACGUCUUGACGGUACCUAAUCAGAAAGCCACGGCUAACUACGUGCCAGCAGCCGCGGUAAUACGUAGGUGGCAAGCGUUAUCCGGAAUUAUUGGGCGUAAAGCGCGCGUAGGCGGUUUUUUAAGUCUGAUGUGAAAGCCAACGGCUCAACCGUGGAGGAUCAUUGGAAACUGGAAAACUUGAGUGCAGAAGAGGAAAGUGGAAUUCCAUGUGUAGCGGUGAAAUGCGCAGAGAUAUGGAGGAACACCAGUGGCGAAGGCGACUUUCUGGUCUGUAACUGACGCUGAUGUGCGAAAGCGUGGGGAUCAAACAGG
This 429-nucleotide ribosomal RNA is filed under the name Actinomycetes bacterium. RNAcentral describes it as "Actinobacteria bacterium partial 16S ribosomal RNA". It matches the Rfam family "Bacterial small subunit ribosomal RNA", at positions 355 to 776 of the family's 1533-position model. Lineage: Bacteria; Bacillati; Actinomycetota; Actinomycetes. The record is from RNAcentral.